RNAcentral lists this ribosomal RNA (310 nucleotides) under uncultured bacterium. RNAcentral describes it as "bacterial SSU rRNA". It matches the Rfam family "Bacterial small subunit ribosomal RNA", at positions 199 to 507 of the family's 1533-position model. The record is from RNAcentral.
CCGCAAGGCCUUGCGCUCUUUGAGCGGCCGAUGUCAGAUUAGCUAGUUGGUGAGGUAACGGCUUACCAAGGCGACGAUCUGUAGCGGGUCUGAGAGGAUGAUCCGCCACACUGGAACUGAGACACGGUCCAGACUCCUACGGGAGGCAGCAGUGGGAAUUUUGGACAAUGGGCGCAAGCCUGAUCCAGCCAUGCCGCGUGAGUGAAGAAGGCCUUCGGGUUGUAAAGCUCUUUCGGCCGGAAGAAAUCGCAUGGGUUAAUACCCUGUGUGGAUGACGGUACCGGAAUAAGAAGCACCGGCUAACUACGUG